This 253-nucleotide ribosomal RNA is filed under the name uncultured bacterium. Its description in RNAcentral is "partial 16S ribosomal RNA". It matches the Rfam family "Bacterial small subunit ribosomal RNA", at positions 524 to 776 of the family's 1533-position model. The record is from RNAcentral.
UACGAGGGUUGCGAGCGUUAUUCGGAUUUAUUGGGCGUAAAGGGUGCGUAGGCGGCCUGUCGCGUCCGCUGUGAAAUCCCGGGGCUUAACCCCGGGCGUGCAGUGGAUACGGGCUGGCUGGAGGCAGGCAGGGGAGAACGGAAUUCACGGUGUAGCGGUGAAAUGCGCAGAUAUCGGGAGGAACACCGGUGGCGAAGGCGGUUCUCUGGGCCUGUACUGACGCUGAGGAGCGAAAGCGUGGGGAGCGAACAGG